AAUUCAGUACGAGGGGUAGGGAGGUCCCAGGAGAUGGGGUGAUGGGAAUUUGGAGGUGGGGAAAGGGUGGGAAAAAGAUGCAGAAAUUUCACACAGUGAAUCAAAAAUAGUAAAGGUGCUAGUAUAGAUCCCAGAUUAAUUUUGAGUGGUCAACACACAAUUAUUAAAAGGGAAUCAGCUCCUUGGUUUACCCAGUACCGUCCUUAGUCCCUCUCAGCAAAGAAUAGGCUAGUAUUGGAUGGACCAAAUUUGUAAAUAUCCAAGAGUAUUCUCUACUGCAAUGUCCGCGUCAUCUCACAGGCUACCCAGGAUCAAAGUAAAAGGAAUUCUAUUUAAUAAUUUGAAGACAUGAGAACCAUUUGGCUCUUUCUAACAAAUAUCUUAAUUAUAUUUCAAUAUCCUUGAAAGGCACAAAGCCCAGAAUGCUAAAGCUGAAAUGGACAGAACAUGACCUUCUUAUUUUAGUCUCAGUUUCUGAAUUAUAAACUUGCCCCAUUCCUUCCUCCCUCCUCCCUAUGGUUUUAAAUGUUGCCGGAUCCUGUGGUGAUCAGAAAGGUGUGAGAUAUCUCUCUCUCUCUCUCUCUCUAUAUAUAUCUAUACAUAUACUCCAGAGAUAACUAAAUAAGUUUUGCUUAACUUCAAGCACAGGAGCAUAAGCCACUCCAAGUAAACAUAUAACGAAAGCUAAAAUAAGUUAGUCAGCAGAGACAGCGAGCUCCAGGUCUCUCCAUCAGUAGUUCUCACUGCCCUUCCGAAGCAAUCUUGCCACCAGUAACUGCCUGGCACGCACUCUCCACUGCGUUCUGAGCCAGUGAGUGUCUGCUGCCCUUGACUCCUCAAACCUCAAACACACAGUUUUUCCAAAUGUCCAGGCAGGAGCAGGUAUACAGCCUUCCUGGGUUAAUUUGUACAACAGCCCAUUCUUAAUUAUUUGUCAAUGUUUAAUCAGGUAAAAGUCAAUCAUUUCAGCACAGUCCAGCUUUGGACAAAGUCUUUAUUGACCAUUACAAGUCUUUUGUUGACCUGAGGACUUUCUUGGGCAUAACAUACACAGAGAGAAAACAAGAAGAGGAGAAAGAAAAGUUAAGUCAAUUAAGUCACACUUUGUUAAUGGUCCCGAUAAGCUUAGUUUUGAAAAAGUCCGGUUUGGAAGCAAGUCCAGCUUGGGCAGUGCACACCAAAGAAAUUCAGCCAAAAGUGUAUCAAGUUCUAUUUUCUUUUAUUCUAAAAGCAUGUUUGUAGGCAGUUUCCCUGAAGUUAUUAUCGGAAUCAGAGAUGAGCUAUUACGCAAUUGACACCUGAGAAGAAAAGAAACCCCAAAUACGCCUAGACUAGUUCAAGGUCAAGUGUUUGCAAAUAUGCGCAUAAUCUGGAAGAAGAGAUGGAAAAAAAGGUGAGUACAGGUGAAGAGGAAGAGAAAGUUGGGAGAAAGUACAGAAUGUAGAUAUAAUAGAGACGACAAAAGGAUGAAAGAAAGAUCGAGAAUAAGAAAGAGAGAGAAAGAGAAAGCCUGGAGAAGACAGGAGAGAAGAAAAGGGAGAUGGGGCAGCAGAGAAGACCUGUUUUGAUUGGCAGGUAGCAGAGAAAUCUUGCUUCCAGGGUGGAAGAAUUCUAAACGAAAGGUCUCAGAGCCCCCAGGGUUCGCCAGCGGACGGGCUAACGCCAGCCCCUCACUUACCAUCUUGCAGUGGAAGAAGGCGCUGCAGAAACUGAGCCCGCUCUUAAUUUUUUCGAAAACUGACAUGCUUAUAAGAGGAAGAGACACGAGGAAAGGCUUGCAAAGAGAAAAGGACAUCUGAGGACACAGCAAGAAGAUGGCCAUUUGCAAGUCAAGGAGAAACUGAUUACCCUGCUAAUGCCUUGAUCCUGGACUUCUAGCCUCCAGAACUGUGAGAAAAUAAAUUUCUGUUGUAUAAACUA
Non-coding RNA from Equus caballus (horse), 1920 nucleotides. Lineage: Eukaryota; Metazoa; Chordata; Mammalia; Perissodactyla; Equidae. The record is from RefSeq and is a predicted model, not a curated record.